CUAUCCAACUACAAGCUCUUUAUUCUACUCUUAACAAGCAUUAUAAUUCACUUUAUUAGAUUUACUGUGUACCCAAAAGAGAGAUGAAAGACAAAAAAAUAUUGGAGAGGCAGUGUAUCCUAGAGGUUGUGUUAAUUUUCGUUUCUUUGGUAAGCGAGUGAAAACCAAAGGGUCAUUAUUGGUGAGCGAGUGAAAACGAACCCUGUCAGCAUUGGUG
Molecule: long non-coding RNA, 217 nt
Filed under: Nicotiana benthamiana
Lineage: Eukaryota; Viridiplantae; Streptophyta; Magnoliopsida; Solanales; Solanaceae
Description: long non-coding RNA (NBEN_LNC008850)
Source: RNAcentral